RNAcentral lists this ribosomal RNA (497 nucleotides) under uncultured bacterium. RNAcentral describes it as "partial 16S ribosomal RNA". It matches the Rfam family "Bacterial small subunit ribosomal RNA", at positions 28 to 507 of the family's 1533-position model. The record is from RNAcentral.
GAUGAACGCUGGCGGCGUGCCUAAUACAUGCAAGUCGAGCGAACGGACGAGAAGCUUGCUACUCUGAUGUUAGCGGCGGACGGGUGAGUAACACGUGGAUAACCUACCUAUAAGACUGGGAUAACUUCGGGAAACCGUAGCUAAUACCGGAUAAUAUUUUGAACCGCAUGGUUCAAAAGUGAAAGACGGUCUUGCUGUCACUUAUAGAUGGAUCCGCGCUGCAUUAGCUAGUUGGUAAGGUAACGGCUUACCAAGGCAACGAUGCAUAGCCGACCUGAGAGGGUGAUCGGCCACACUGGAACUGAGACACGGUCCAGACUCCUACGGGAGGCAGCAGUAGGGAAUCUUCCGCAAUGGGCGAAAGCCUGACGGAGCAACGCCGCGUGAGUGAUGAAGGUCUUCGGAUCGUAAAACUCUGUUAUUAGGGAAGAACAUAUGUGUAAGUAACUGUGCACAUCUUGACGGUACCUAAUCAGAAAGCCACGGCUAACUACGUG